Molecule: non-coding RNA, 72 nt
Organism: Pangasius djambal
Lineage: Eukaryota; Metazoa; Chordata; Actinopteri; Siluriformes; Pangasiidae
Source: the annotation of a GenBank genome assembly
UCCCUGGGGGACUAGUGGUUAGGCCUCAGCACUCUUAUUGCCACGCUUUGGGUUCGAUUCCCGGGCAGGGAA